RNAcentral lists this ribosomal RNA (406 nucleotides) under uncultured prokaryote. Its description in RNAcentral is "bacterial SSU rRNA". It matches the Rfam family "Bacterial small subunit ribosomal RNA", at positions 355 to 776 of the family's 1533-position model. The record is from RNAcentral.
UGGGGAAUAUUGGGCAAUGGGGGGAACCCUGACCCAGCAACGCCGCGUGAAGGAAGAAGGUUUUCGGAUUGUAAACUUCUGUCCUUGGUGAAGAGGAAGAGACGGUAGCCAAGGAGGAAGCCCCGGCUAACUACGUGCCAGCAGCCGCGGUAAUACGUAGGGGGCGGGCGGUGUCCGGAAUGAUUGGGCGUAAAGGGCGCGUAGGCGGGAAAGCAAGUCAGAUGUGAAAUACCGGGGCUUAACUCCGGGGCUGCAUCUGAAACUGUUUUUCUUGAGUGUCGGAGAGGAAAGCGGAAUUCCUAGUGUAGCGGUGAAAUGCGUAGAUAUUAGGAGGAACACCAGUGGCGAAGGCGGCUUUCUGGACGACAACUGACGCUGAGGCGCGAAAGCGUGGGGAGCAAACAGG